CAGCAGGUGUGUGGGAGGUGACUCUCUCAGGAGGUUGAAUAGGGUUAGAAAGACGGCAUGACUAUAUCUCUAAUGUAGACCUAAAGUGCUUCCUAGAGCUAGGGACCAGGAUUCUAAAUGAGACCUGAGGGAAUGGAGCUGUUGUUGACAAGAGCUGUUAGACAAACAGGACAUGGAGGAGGUAGAAAACUCUGAGGCUUGACUUACACACCAGAGCUGCCCUGCCAGGUCAGGCUGAGGCCACUCUUCGUGGGACUUUCCCUGAGAUCACAGCCUUCCUGUGUUGACUUCCUCCUCUUCCCUCUCCUGCUUCACACACACCCCUACUGGUCCCCCUGGAAGCAUAUUUUAAAAUAAAUUACUUGUAUAUGAAUCAUGAGUCCUGGUCUUGAGUUCUACUUCUGAGGAAGCUGAUCUAAAUUUUCCCACUCUCAUUUGCAUUUCAUAUAAACCUUGUGAAGUGUUAUUAUCCCCCUUUUGCAGAUGAAGAAACUGAGGCUCAAAAGGUAAUAAUGUAUCUGUAGCUUGUGACUUAAAUCCAGCUAUGUCUGACUCCAAUGCACUGAAUUCCCCGAAAAACAAUCAGCAUUUACAUGAAGUUAGCCAGUGGUUUCAGAAUUUCAGGUUCUUUUUCAAGGUUAUGUAGACAGUUGUCUCCUGAACUGAAUCACAG
Molecule: long non-coding RNA, 673 nt
Filed under: Homo sapiens (human)
Lineage: Eukaryota; Metazoa; Chordata; Mammalia; Primates; Hominidae
Description: HSALNT0311113
Source: RNAcentral